Long non-coding RNA from Aricia agestis (brown argus), 261 nucleotides. RefSeq lists it as uncharacterized. The transcript is spliced from 3 exons. The record is from RefSeq and is a predicted model, not a curated record. NCBI's taxonomy places the organism in Eukaryota, Metazoa, Arthropoda, Insecta, Lepidoptera, Lycaenidae.
UGAUGAUUAAUGAUAAAAAAAAUGCUAAUAUUUUUGAGUAUUGGUUUUCGUCGCCUUAUAAGGUGCUUAAGCCCGCAGCAAAUAAGUUUUUAUCUGCGCCGCCUACUAGCGUAGCAAGUGAACAACUUUUUAGCAAAGCUGGACAAUUGUAUGACGAGAGACGACAUUCUUUGAAGGGCGAAAAUGCCGAAAAAUUGCUUUUUUUAUGUUAUAAUAUAAUGUUAUUUAACUUUGAUUAUUAAAACAAUUAAUUUUGUUAAA